Molecule: ribosomal RNA, 468 nt
Filed under: uncultured bacterium
Lineage: Bacteria
Description: partial 16S ribosomal RNA
Rfam family: Bacterial small subunit ribosomal RNA
Source: RNAcentral
GACGAACGCUGGCGGCGGGCUUAACACAUGCAAGUCGAACGGAAAGGCCCUGCUUUUGUGGGGUGCUCGAGUGGCGAACGGGUGAGUAACACGUGAGUAACCUGCCCUGGACUUGGGGAUAACUUCAGGAAACUGGGGCUAAUACCGGAUAGGAGCGCCUGCUGCAUGGGGGGGGUCGGAAAGUUUCGGCGGUGGGGGAUGGACUCGCGGCUUAUCAGCUGGUUGGGGGGGUAGUGGCUUACCAAGGCUUUGACGGGUAGCCGGCCUGAGAGGGUGACCGGCCACAUUGGGACUGAGAUACGGCCCAGACUCCUACGGGAGGCAGCAGUGGGGAAUAUUGCACAAUGGGCGGAAGCCUGAUGAAGCAACGCCGCGUGCGGGAUGACGGCCUUCGGGUUGUAAACCGCUUUCGCCUGUGACGAAGCGUGAGUGACGGUAAUGGGUAAAGAAGCACCGGCUAACUACGUG